This 287-nucleotide ribosomal RNA is filed under the name Listeria monocytogenes. RNAcentral describes it as "partial 16S ribosomal RNA". It matches the Rfam family "Bacterial small subunit ribosomal RNA", at positions 1248 to 1533 of the family's 1533-position model. Lineage: Bacteria; Bacillati; Bacillota; Bacilli; Caryophanales; Listeriaceae. The record is from RNAcentral.
CGCGAAGCCGCGAGGUGGAGCUAAUCCCAUAAAACUAUUCUCAGUUCGGAUUGUAGGCUGCAACUCGCCUACAUGAAGCCGGAAUCGCUAGUAAUCGUGGAUCAGCAUGCCACGGUGAAUACGUUCCCGGGCCUUGUACACACCGCCCGUCACACCACGAGAGUUUGUAACACCCGAAGUCGGUAGGGUAACCUUUAUGGAGCCAGCCGCCGAAGGUGGGACAGAUAAUUGGGGUGAAGUCGUAACAAGGUAGCCGUAUCGGAAGGUGCGGCUGGAUCACCUCCUUU